CCUACGGGAGGCAGCAGUGAGGAAUAUUGGUCAAUGGGCUGGAGCCUGAACCAGCCAAGUCGCGUGAGGGAAGACGGUCCUAUGGAUUGUAAACCUCUUUAGGCGGGGAGCAAUGCCGGGCACGCGUGCCCGGAGGGAGAGUACCCGCAGAAUAAGCAUCGGCUAACUCCGUGCCAGCAGCCGCGGUAAUACGGAGGAUGCGAGCGUUAUCCGGAUUUAUGGGGUUUAAAGGGUGCGUAGUCGGAUUUUUAAGUCAGCGGUAAAAUGUCCGGGCUCAACCCGGGCCGGCCGUUGAAACUGGGGAUCUUGAGUGGGCGAGAAGUAUGCGGAAGGCGUGGUGUAGCGGUGAAAUGCAUAGAUAUCACGCAGAACUCCGAUUGCGAAGGCAGCAUACCGGCGCCCGACUGACGCUGAGGCACGAAAGCGUGGGGAUCGAACAGGAUUAGAUACCCUUGUAGUC
RNAcentral lists this ribosomal RNA (460 nucleotides) under uncultured bacterium. RNAcentral describes it as "partial 16S ribosomal RNA". It matches the Rfam family "Bacterial small subunit ribosomal RNA", at positions 338 to 795 of the family's 1533-position model. The record is from RNAcentral.